GAAGCAGGACAAAAAGGAUUCCAUUUUAAGCAAGUGUAGAAGAAAGAGCACAGACUCAGCACUCUUGGGACCUGGCUUUGCAGCUCGGCUCUGCCAAAAACAACGUUGGACAUUUCACUCAUGCUCUCUGAGCCUCAGAGUCGUCAGCUACAUUGCCUGCUCCUGCAGAGGGCUGCUGCCAUGUCAUGAGCACUCUCAAGCAGCUCUAGCAAGGGGUCAUGUCACGAGGAACUGAGACCUUCUGCCAAUAGCUGUGUGAAUGAGCCAUCAUGGAGGCAGGUCCUCCAGCCCCAGUCAAGCCUUCAGAUGAUGGCAGCCCCAGCUGAUGAUUUGACUGCAAACUCUCAUGCAACCAGGAAUAAGAACCACUCAGCAGAACCACUCCCAAUUUCCUGACCCACAGAAACUGUGAGAUAAAUAAAUAUUGUUUUAA
Molecule: long non-coding RNA, 433 nt
Organism: Pan troglodytes (chimpanzee)
Lineage: Eukaryota; Metazoa; Chordata; Mammalia; Primates; Hominidae
Exons: 2
Source: RefSeq, a predicted model, not a curated record